ACUUCAAAUUAUUACUCAAGGAAAAUAUAGGAAUUUCACUGGGCGAUUAUUCAGAAAAAAAUAAUACAUAUACAAAUAUUAGGUUUAAGAAGCCCUAGAAGAAAAUGUCACCAGAAAGAGUAGUCCGCUGAGCAGCUACAAACCAAAUGAAGUAUAUUAUCUUUAAUACAUACUAUAU
Panicum virgatum (switchgrass) is the source of this 178-nucleotide long non-coding RNA. RefSeq lists it as uncharacterized. Lineage: Eukaryota; Viridiplantae; Streptophyta; Magnoliopsida; Poales; Poaceae. The transcript is spliced from 2 exons. The record is from RefSeq and is a predicted model, not a curated record.